GAUGAACGCUGGCGGCGUGCCUAAUACAUGCAAGUCGAGCGAACAGACGAGGAGCUUGCUCCUCUGACGUUAGCGGCGGACGGGUGAGUAACACGUGGAUAACCUACCUAUAAGACUGGGAUAACUUCGGGAAACCGGAGCUAAUACCGGAUAAUAUAUUGAACCGCAUGGUUCAAUAGUGAAAGACGGUUUUGCUGUCACUUAUAGAUGGAUCCGCGCCGCAUUAGCUAGUUGGUAAGGUAACGGCUUACCAAGGCGACGAUGCGUAGCCGACCUGAGAGGGUGAUCGGCCACACUGGAACUGAGACACGGUCCAGACUCCUACGGGAGGCAGCAGUAGGGAAUCUUCCGCAAUGGGCGAAAGCUUGACGGAGCAACGCCGCGUGAGUGAUGAAGGUCUUCGGAUCGUAAAACUCAGUUAUUAGGGAAGAACAAAUGUGUAAGUAACUAUGCACGUCUUGACGGUACCUAAUCAGAAAGCCACGGCUAACUACGU
Molecule: ribosomal RNA, 496 nt
Filed under: uncultured bacterium
Lineage: Bacteria
Description: partial 16S ribosomal RNA
Rfam family: Bacterial small subunit ribosomal RNA
Source: RNAcentral